UGUAAUGUAGCUCAGUGGUUAGAACACUUGCCUCUUAUGUCAGAGACCCUGACUUUGAGUCUCUGCACUGCAA
RNAcentral lists this transfer RNA (73 nucleotides) under Ictidomys tridecemlineatus (thirteen-lined ground squirrel). RNAcentral describes it as "Spermophilus tridecemlineatus (thirteen-lined ground squirrel) tRNA". It matches the Rfam family "tRNA". From Rfam's summary of the family: Transfer RNA (tRNA) molecules are approximately 80 nucleotides in length. Their secondary structure includes four short double-helical elements and three loops (D, anti-codon, and T loops). Lineage: Eukaryota; Metazoa; Chordata; Mammalia; Rodentia; Sciuridae. The record is from Rfam by way of RNAcentral.